This 490-nucleotide ribosomal RNA is filed under the name uncultured bacterium. RNAcentral's name for it is "partial 16S ribosomal RNA". It matches the Rfam family "Bacterial small subunit ribosomal RNA", at positions 30 to 507 of the family's 1533-position model. The record is from RNAcentral.
AUUGAACGCUGGCGGCAGGCCUAACACAUGCAAGUCGAACGGUAACAGGAAGCAGCUUGCUGCUUCGCUGACGAGUGGCGGACGGGUGAGUAAUGUCUGGGAAACUGCCUGAUGGAGGGGGAUAACUACUGGAAACGGUAGCUAAUACCGCAUAACGUCGCAAGACCAAAGAGGGGGACCUUAUGGCCUCUUGCCAUCGGAUGUGCCCCGAUGGGAUUAGCUAGUAGGUGGGGUAACGGCUCACCUAGGCGACGAUCCCUAGCUGGUCUGAGAGGAUGACCAGCCACACUGGAACUGAGACACGGUCCAGACUCCUACGGGAGGCAGCAGUGGGGAAUAUUGCACAAUGGGCGCAAGCCUGAUGCAGCCAUGCCGCGUGUAUGAAGAAGGCCUUCGGGUUGUAAAGUACUUUCAGCGGGGAGGAAGGGAGUAAAGUUAAUACCUUUGCUCAUUGACGUUACCCGCAGAAGAAGCACCGGCUAACUCCGUG